UGUCUAGGUGUGACCAGGAGCUGGUGGG
RNAcentral lists this non-coding RNA (28 nucleotides) under Mus musculus (house mouse). The record is from RNAcentral. Lineage: Eukaryota; Metazoa; Chordata; Mammalia; Rodentia; Muridae.